GGCACCGAAAUUACAGUCGGAAUGGCCGUUGUAAAAAAGCAGAUCAAUGGCAUAGUUGAAAUGACCGUUGGACAAAAAAGCAGGAUAUCAAUUCUUUUAUAUAUGGGCUGUUUAUUUGAGAAUCGGGGCAGAUUGUGUUGUUCCUUCAUUUAUGUUUCUGUUUUUUUUGGCUUGAUUUCUAUUUUUUUUUUUUCUGGCGUGGCCAUGCCUGUUUUGCUUUUCUUGGUUUUGAAUUUUUACUUUGUAUUCUUUGGAGUGUCGUUUUUUAAUGGGUCAUGGAGGUAGGAGGAGCUAGAAUUCUCCAUUCUGUGGUAGGCAGUAGCCAGAAUUAUGCAUUCGGGAGUGGCUGAUUGGAGAUAUGGCCAGAAAAUAGCUAGUUUGCAUGGCUGUGUAUAUUGAUGCAGAUUGAGAGUGCAAGUAUCUUCCUCAGUUUUUCAUAUUUGUGGUUCGGAAAAUCCACUUUCAGUUAGAGCUAAGCUAGGGACAAAUGGAAUCAAAAGCUUACAGUCAGUGAACUUCGAAUCUUAUUAAAAUGAUCUGUUUUAACCUUGCCAAAUUUGUUUGAUUUGCCAAGUCAGUACUCAAAACUCAAAAGUACUAUAUAGAAAGUAACAGUUUGUUGGUGUUCGGAUUUUUCUAUAAGGUAAUGAGGUUUCAAUUUUUGGAAUAAGGAUAAAAACUGUGAAAUAGAAUCAAGGUUUUAGAUCAGUGAUUGUCUUUGGCUUGUGUGGUAUUUCCUCAAUUGCUCCAGGUGCGUUCUGUCCAACCGUUGUCUGCCUUAAUGUGAAAGGAAAACAUAAUGUUCAAACUUACAAUUGCUCCAGGAAUACAUUUUAGGGACAUAAAUUCCUUGGAUUUUGGGGAUAGCAGGGGUUCGUACAUACAUUUCCAUUAAUGGCUAUAUAAAGCUGAAAUUUGAAUAUUACGCAUUGAAGAAAAUAUUGCACUUUUGAAUCAGCUGUUGAAAUCAGUAUUUGUAAAUUGAUAUGUAAACAGAUUUGUUGUUUAAUACCAAAUUUUUAUUUGGGAGGGGUUAAUUGGCCCCCUUCCUAAGACUGGGGGAAUGGUCAUUGGUCAUGGCCAUUCUUUUCAGUCUAGUGUCAAUGCGUUAAUUUUUAUCUUAUUUUUUAUUGCAUAAAAGUCAAUUUGUAUU
This is a long non-coding RNA of Cryptomeria japonica (Japanese cedar), 1153 nucleotides long. RefSeq lists it as uncharacterized. The record is from RefSeq and is a predicted model, not a curated record. Lineage: Eukaryota; Viridiplantae; Streptophyta; Pinopsida; Cupressales; Cupressaceae. The transcript has 3 exons.